CCUGAAGGAUGCCUUAAGGGCACCGCAUUAUUCUCAUCUUGGACCCCCACAUAUCCCUGCUGCAGAGGCCUGACAGGAAGCGUCAUCUCAGUGGGAGGCUUGGGCACCUCAUGAAGAACCAGAGACUGGAGAAUGCCUGAGCCCCUGCAGGCCCCAGUGCCUGCCGGCUUGCCUUCCCACUGGGCAGAGCUCCUCAGGGAUUUGGCUGAAAAAUCUGCAAGACCAGCCAAAUCACCUGGUGCCUCAGCACAACUCUGGGAAGCAUGACUCUAAGAGGAAAAGCUCCAGGCUGAUAGACAUUCUCCAGCAAUUAAACAUCCCUGUGCAAGGCCUGGGAGACUAGGAGCCAAACAUAUGAGUGCAAGGCCCAGGGACAGGGAAGAUCAAGGCACAAAUUCAGAAGAAGACAACAUUUUCAACAUAUCCACACCUGAAACUUCAAAGGGGAAUAUGAACUUUGCUCCAGCCCAAAAAGCCUUCUUGG
This is a non-coding RNA of Phascolarctos cinereus (koala), 484 nucleotides long. The record is from RefSeq and is a predicted model, not a curated record. Lineage: Eukaryota; Metazoa; Chordata; Mammalia; Diprotodontia; Phascolarctidae.